UUUUUCUCUUUUCUUUAUUUUUCUUUUCCCCUCACCCGGUGCCGACUUCUCCCCCUCCGCGCGCCGACGCGAUUUUUUCCCGAGUCCCUUCCCUCGGCGCCGACCCCUGCCCUAACCACCUUAACCGGCGCCUACUCCUCUUCACCACUUCUUCUUCUUUCCUCCCUCGACAGCCAUUUUCUCGUCACUGCCGAAGCCCUUCUCUGCCGUCGCCCCUUGCCACGCCGAUCCUUUUCUUUCCCCAGCUGACGCCGCACCUUCAAACCACAGCGCCGGCCGUUGUUGCCUGUGCCCUAGCGCCGGCCUUCUGCCCGCGAUGCUGACCCCCUCUGCCGCCGGCGACGAGCCACCUCUCCGACUUCCCUGUGCGCCGGCCGAAGUUUCCCUUCCUUGUGCCUCUGAUCUGAAGCGAUUAUUGCCUUGUUUCUGCGCUGAUCGCCGGCCAGCCGUUCCCCCUCAGCCCUAGCUUGUGCCCUAGCACCGCCGGGUGCCACUCCUCAGCCCUAGCCCAAGCCACCACCGCCGGCCAUAUCUCAUCUUAUUCCCCAUACUGUGCCGUGCCCUAGACUUGGGUUCACAGCUGCUGUCGCAUCUCUGCCCCUCACUGUCGCCGGCCAUCAGGCACAGCCGAGCCGUAGUUGGUUUUGGAGUUGGUGGAUUUCUUAUCUUUGCGUUGCUGUUGUGCCCUAGUUCACCACUGCCGGUGCCAGUCUCUUCUUUACAGCAGAGUGGAACUUGAGGACUUUGACGCGAGACGAUUAUCUCGGAGUCAGAUUUGGACCUUUCUAUUUUCGGAGGCGGGUACUUUUGACUUAUGUCUUUGAUAUGCAUAAUAAAGUGUUUAACAAAUAGAAUUGAUUAUGUUUUCUAUUUGUUUGGUUGGUCACUACAUGAUCUAUUACAUGUUGCUUGUUACUGGUUAUGCACUGCAUGUUGUUAUUUACCUAGUAUUACAUGCUUUUGGUAGUGACCCAACAAAUUGAUACUUAUGUUCAUGACCUAGGGUUUAUUUGAUACCCUAUCUGUUUGUGUACUUUCCCUUUUGGUUCAUUACCCUGUAGUACACAUUUUAUAUUAUGUAUGGAGCAUGCUAUGCUAUUUGUGAUAUUGCCGUAUUUAGGAUCAUGCAUCAUCUUGCAUGAUUGCAUGCUGAGCGUUUGUCUGCUCCAUUAUUGUGAGCACAACGCCAAUUACAUAUAUCUGUACACACCACCACUCAUGGGUUAGUGGUAUAUUAGACAGGUGUGUGGCAGUUCUGUUGUUAGGCUCUGCUAGUCUGGUGACUUAGCGUAGUAGCCGGCAGACAGUUUUGCUCUGUUUUGCUCCGCUGGUUUAUUCAUCCGCGUAGUAGCCGGCAGGCAGUUGGACUCUGUUUUGCUCCGUUGGUCUGCUCAUGGGUAGUGUGACGCAGCGUGGUAGCCGGCAGAGAUUCCUCCCCGUCAUCGUG
This is a long non-coding RNA of Zingiber officinale, 1447 nucleotides long. RefSeq lists it as uncharacterized. The record is from RefSeq and is a predicted model, not a curated record. The transcript has 3 exons. NCBI's taxonomy places the organism in Eukaryota, Viridiplantae, Streptophyta, Magnoliopsida, Zingiberales, Zingiberaceae.